UACAGAGGUGCCAAGCGUUAGGCGGAAUCACUGGGCUUAAAGCGCGCGUAGGCGGAUGUUUAAGUGUCUUGUGAAAUCCCACGGCUCAACCGUGGAACUGCUGGGCAUACUGGACAUCUUGAGGCACUCAAGGGCGAGCGGAACAAGUGGUGGAGCGGUGAAAUGCGUAGAUAUCGGAAGGAACAUCAGUGGCGAAAGCGGCUUCCUGGACCAGAACUGACGAUCAGGCUCGAAAGCGUGGGGAGCAAACAGG
RNAcentral lists this ribosomal RNA (253 nucleotides) under uncultured bacterium. RNAcentral's name for it is "partial 16S ribosomal RNA". It matches the Rfam family "Bacterial small subunit ribosomal RNA", at positions 524 to 776 of the family's 1533-position model. The record is from RNAcentral.